CUUGAAUAUGCCCAAUCUCGUCUGAUCUCGGAAGCUAAGCAGG
This 43-nucleotide ribosomal RNA is filed under the name Sorex araneus (European shrew). Lineage: Eukaryota; Metazoa; Chordata; Mammalia; Eulipotyphla; Soricidae. The record is from RNAcentral.